RNAcentral lists this transfer RNA (73 nucleotides) under Planktothrix sp. UBA8402. RNAcentral's name for it is "tRNA-Lys". The stretch from base 8 to 65 matches the Rfam family "tRNA", at positions 8 to 63 of the family's 71-position model. Rfam says of the family: Transfer RNA (tRNA) molecules are approximately 80 nucleotides in length. Their secondary structure includes four short double-helical elements and three loops (D, anti-codon, and T loops). Further hydrogen bonds mediate the characteristic L-shaped molecular structure. tRNAs have two regions of fundamental functional importance: the anti-codon, which is responsible for specific mRNA codon recognition, and the 3' end, to which the tRNAs corresponding amino acid is attached (by aminoacyl-tRNA synthetases). tRNAs cope with the degeneracy of the genetic code in two manners: having more than one tRNA (with a specific anti-codon) for a particular amino acid; and 'wobble' base-pairing, i.e. permitting non-standard base-pairing at the 3rd anti-codon position. Lineage: Bacteria; Bacillati; Cyanobacteriota; Cyanophyceae; Oscillatoriales; Microcoleaceae. The record is from RNAcentral.
GGGGUUAUAGCUCAGUUGGUAGAGCACCUGCCUUUUAAGCAGAGGGUCGUAGGUUCGAUUCCUACCGGGCGCA